Molecule: ribosomal RNA, 522 nt
Filed under: uncultured bacterium
Lineage: Bacteria
Description: partial 16S ribosomal RNA
Rfam family: Bacterial small subunit ribosomal RNA
Source: RNAcentral
GAUGAACGCUGGCGGCGUGCCUAAUACAUGCAAGUCGAACGCUUUGUCUUUAAUUGAUCUGAAGAGCUUGCUCUGAUUUGAUUUUAUCUGACAAAGAGUGGCGAACGGGUGAGUAACACGUGGGUAACCUACCUCUUAGCAGGGGAUAACAUUUGGAAACAAGUGCUAAUACCGUAUAACACUAACAACCGCAUGGUUGUUAGUUGAAAGAUGGUUCUGCUAUCACUAAGAGAUGGACCCGCGGUGCAUUAGCUAGUUGGUAAGGUAAUGGCUUACCAAGGCGAUGAUGCGUAGCCGAGUUGAGAGACUGAUCGGCCACAAUGGGACUGAGACACGGCCCAUACUCCUACGGGAGGCAGCAGUAGGGAAUCUUCCACAAUGGGCGCAAGCCUGAUGGAGCAACGCCGCGUGUGUGAUGAAGGGUUUCGGCUCGUAAAACACUGUUAUAAGAGAAGAACGACAUUGAGAGUAACUGUUCAGUGUGUGACGGUAUCUUAUCAGAAAGGAACGGCUAAAUACGUG